Non-coding RNA from Cyanistes caeruleus (blue tit), 271 nucleotides. The record is from RefSeq and is a predicted model, not a curated record. Lineage: Eukaryota; Metazoa; Chordata; Aves; Passeriformes; Paridae.
AGGAAAGUGAAGACCCUGGGGGAGGAGGAGCCCUGGCUGGACGACGCGGCCGCGUGGAUCGAGCGCAGCCGGGCGCUCCAGAGGGAGAAAGAACUGGCGGAAAAAAGGGCCAAGCUGCUGGAGGAGAUGGAUCAGGAGUUCGGUGUCAGCCCCUUGGUGGAGGAGGAGUUCCAGCGGCGGCGGCGGGAGCGUUACAGCGCCCGGGACCUGCAGGGGCUGACGGUGGAGCACGACCCGGCCUCGAUCCCCGAGGGACAAACGCUGGUGCUGA